Molecule: ribosomal RNA, 791 nt
Filed under: Streptomyces hydrogenans
Lineage: Bacteria; Bacillati; Actinomycetota; Actinomycetes; Kitasatosporales; Streptomycetaceae
Description: bacterial SSU rRNA
Rfam family: Bacterial small subunit ribosomal RNA
Source: RNAcentral
UGAACCGCUUUCGGGCGGGGAUUAGUGGCGAACGGGUGAGUAACACGUGGGCAAUCUGCCCUGCACUCUGGGACAAGCCCUGGAAACGGGGUCUAAUACCGGAUAUGACUGUCCAUCGCAUGGUGGAUGGUGUAAAGCUCCGGCGGUGCAGGAUGAGCCCGCGGCCUAUCAGCUUGUUGGUGAGGUAGUGGCUCACCAAGGCGACGACGGGUAGCCGGCCUGAGAGGGCGACCGGCCACACUGGGACUGAGACACGGCCCAGACUCCUACGGGAGGCAGCAGUGGGGAAUAUUGCACAAUGGGCGAAAGCCUGAUGCAGCGACGCCGCGUGAGGGAUGACGGCCUUCGGGUUGUAAACCUCUUUCAGCAGGGAAGAAGCGAAAGUGACGGUACCUGCAGAAGAAGCGCCGGCUAACUACGUGCCAGCAGCCGCGGUAAUACGUAGGGCGCAAGCGUUGUCCGGAAUUAUUGGGCGUAAAGAGCUCGUAGGCGGCUUGUCACGUCGGUUGUGAAAGCCCGGGGCUUAACCCCGGGUCUGCAGUCGAUACGGGCAGGCUAGAGUUCGGUAGGGGAGAUCGGAAUUCCUGGUGUAGCGGUGAAAUGCGCAGAUAUCAGGAGGAACACCGGUGGCGAAGGCGGAUCUCUGGGCCGAUACUGACGCUGAGGAGCGAAAGCGUGGGGAGCGAACAGGAUUAGAUACCCUGGUAGUCCACGCCGUAAACGGUGGGCACUAGGUGUGGGCAACAUUCCACGUUGUCCGUGCCGCAGCUAACGCAUUAAGUGCCCCGCCU